UAGAGUUUGUCAUGGCUCAGGACGAACGCUGGCGGCGUGCUUAACACAUGCAAGUCGAGCGAUGAAGCUCCUUCGGGAGUGGAUUAGCGGCGGACGGGUGAGUAACACGUGGGUAACCUGCCUCAUAGAGGGGAAUAGCCUUCCGAAAGGAAGAUUAAUACCGCAUAAGAUUGUAGUUUCGCAUGAAACAGCAAUUAAAGGAGUAAUCCGCUAUGAGAUGGACCCGCGUCGCAUUAGCUAGUUGGUGAGGUAACGGCUCACCAAGGCGACGAUGCGUAGCCGACCUGAGAGGGUGAUCGGCCACAUUGGGACUGAGACACGGCCCUGACUCCUACGGGAGGCAGCAGUGGGGAAUAUUGCACAAUGGGGGAAACCCUGAUGCAGCAACGCCGCGUGAGUGAUGAAGGCCUUCGGGUUGUAAAGCUCUGUCUUUGGGGACGAUAAUGACGGUACCCAAGGAGGAAGCCACGGCUAACUACGUGCCAGCAGCCGCGGUAAUACGUAGGUGGCAAGCGUUGUCCGGAUUUACUGGGCGUAAAGGGAGCGUAGGUGGAUAUUUAAGUGGGAUGUGAAAUCCCCGGGCUUAACCUGGGGGCUGCAUUCCAAACUGGAUGUCUAGAGUGCAGGAGAGGAGAGUGGAAUUCCUAGUGUAGCGGUGAAAUGCGUAGAGAUUAGGAAGAACACCAGUGGCGAAAGCGACUCUCUGGACUGUAACUGACACUGAGGCUCGAAAGCGUGGGGAGCAAACAG
Molecule: ribosomal RNA, 750 nt
Filed under: uncultured bacterium
Lineage: Bacteria
Description: bacterial SSU rRNA
Rfam family: Bacterial small subunit ribosomal RNA
Source: RNAcentral